This is a long non-coding RNA of Astatotilapia calliptera (eastern happy), 962 nucleotides long. NCBI's taxonomy places the organism in Eukaryota, Metazoa, Chordata, Actinopteri, Cichliformes, Cichlidae. The record is from Ensembl.
AUCAAAUGGGGAGGUGCGUUUCAGGAUGGGGCCGGUUCAACAGUUGGAGAAGAGGUGGAACAAGUAAACAGUUUCCUGUCUAGGGCGGCCAUCACAACGAAGUACAUGUCUAAAGCAGGUGUGUGUCCGUGUCUGAGAUUCCACUCAGUCUCCUGCUCAUUCAUUCUUAUUUGUAUACUAACUGAAAUGCAGGGCGAACAGACAUGCUGACCCUCCUGGCUUUGGGCUGGAACAAAAGGAAAGUGGAACAACUGGGCCGCACUUUGAGCCAGCGAUAUCUAAAGAUCAUAAGGAUCCUUAGAGAACAAGUGGAGAGCCUGAAUGCGAGCAGAAAUGAGCUGGGUGUGGAUGACGACACACUGCAGCAAUGGGCUGAAGAUAGCAACAAGAGGCGACACAGAAUUCGCAAGGUCAUCUUAGUUGAGAAGAAACGCUUGGCGGCUGCUGUUGACGACUACAACAAGCUCGCUGAACCAACAAAGCAAAUCGUAUCCAGUGAUGCCCUCAUGCAGAGCGACGUUUGGCCCUGGCAGAGCACAAGUGAACCUGCUGCUGACCUCCGGACAAAGAGAAAGGUCUUUGAGAAGGUGAUGGCUGUGAGGCGCCUGAGAGAGGAGGAGAUGAUGCUCUGCAGGGAGAUGCAGCAUCACUGGACAGUGUUGCGAAUGCGUUCUGUGGUGUUGGGGACAAUCUCCUCAGACUCCUCCUUUGUUGGCAUGUCGGAGGAUGCACAGAAGGGACUCUGUAGCCUGGUUUUAAAAAAACAAAGUGAACUGAAAGCUGAAAUGCUCAAAGUAAAGGACGUGUACAAGAGAAUCCUCAGCCACCAACCACUCCUGGAAAUGGACUCGGAGGAGGAGGAGGACAUUCCAGACGAUGCCACUGAGAGUGAUUUGAGCACUUCUGAUGAAGACUGAUUGUGUCAUCAUUGAUGUUAUGUUUGGUAAAAUAAAAAGUUAAUC